CCUGCCCGGGGAGGGGAGCUGAAACCUGUCCCUGGCACAUCUCUGGCCUCAGCAUGGCCCCAGCUCAGCUCAGUGCAGGUGUGGAGACCUCCAGGUGGGCAGGGAAGGGGCAGGAACCUGAGUGCUGCGGUUUAGGAAGGAGCCUCCCCUGAAAUUGAUAGUAAAAGGGUUUUAAAAUCACAGGGAUUUAGGGUUAAAAGGAAAAUUAAGCUUAGUAGGCCCUGAAAAAAAAAACCACCCUAGGUACAUGAAGGCAUCAUGGGGAUUUAGGGUUAAAAGGAAAAUUAAGCUUAGUACGCCCUGAAAAAAAAACCACCCUAGGUACAUGAAGGCAUCAUGGGGAUUUAGGGUUAAAAGGAAAA
Taeniopygia guttata (zebra finch) is the source of this 362-nucleotide non-coding RNA. The record is from RefSeq and is a predicted model, not a curated record. NCBI's taxonomy places the organism in Eukaryota, Metazoa, Chordata, Aves, Passeriformes, Estrildidae.